UAAACACAGCUUUCAAAGGAUAGAAGCAGAAGCAUGUGUUCCAGUAUUUAAAUCUUUUGCUAAUGUCCAUUUAUCCAUCAAUCACACAAGACCUGUGGAUGAAGAUGAAAUAAAAGAAUAUGAGUUGGCAAUCAAAGAAUUUUCUAUCGCAUUUCAAAAAGUGUGCACUGAACGUGAUGCAGCCAAAAUUGCACAUAUUGGAACACCAUGUUGUUGAAUUCAUGAAGCAGUGAACGUUGGUCUUCGAAUGCUUUCCGAGCAGGGUGGUGAACUUAUCCAUGCAGAAUUCAAUCGCCAGAAUAGAACAGUUUAUGGCAUCAAGAACCCACUUGACCAACUGAUGUCCAUUAUGAAAUCCCACAUAUUUACUUCGCCAGAAAUUCAACACGAAAUAACGAUGAAGGCAAAGAGGAGGAAAUCUAAAGUAUUAGUUAAUGACAUUAGAUCAGCAAUAUACAAUUAAUAAUAACCAGAAAUGAAAAUUUUUCUUGUGAUAUUUUUUAAAAUACUUAUUUAAAGUCUUGUCUAGAAGUCAUGUUUUCACAUUUCCUCUCUUAGAAUGUAAAUAUAGAUUGUCUUGUGUUUUGAAGUAAAUAAAUUAGAUUCAACCUUACAUGAUAUCCUAAGUUAAAUAGUGAGUAUAAUAAUAAUAAUAAUAAUAAUAAUAAUAACAAUAACAGUAAUAAUAAUUCAGGACAAAGCUGAUCAUACUGAUCUGAUUUAAGUUUGCUUUUUUUGUGGGUGGGGAAUUAUUGAGGGGUGGUGGUUGUUGUUACGGUUUCUAUUUCAUGUAAUUUGUAAUAUUGUUGGCAUGGCAUGUAUUUUUGUUAACUGUAUUGGGUUAACAUUUUGCUGUUCUGCUUUAUAAAUAUAACAUAGGCCUAUUAAUUACUAUUUUAUUUCAAACUAAGCCAGGCAAGCAGUAGCAAGCUAUAAUUAUAAGUAUAGGCCUAGUACAGCAGUAGGCCCUAUUGUUGUAUUGUAGUGUAGGCCUAUGCCCAGGCUAGGCCUUAUGUAUAAUUUAGGGAAGAAUGUCUUGAAUUGCAUUGAACUCGUGUAUCAGGGAGGUAUAAAAUUGCUAAUGCUUGUAGUAGUCUUUUAUCUAACAUACAUACUUGAGUUUACUACUGUGUAUGCGUAGCACUGAGCCUACUGUAGGCCUAUAUUGUGUACACAGUGAAACGCAUGCCUCUACUGUUAAGAUACACGUUUAAAUCGAAACAUCGGCAUCAAUAAAAAAAAAAUUCAACUGGGAA
Molecule: long non-coding RNA, 1256 nt
Organism: Anneissia japonica
Lineage: Eukaryota; Metazoa; Echinodermata; Crinoidea; Comatulida; Comatulidae
Exons: 2
Source: RefSeq, a predicted model, not a curated record